AAUUAUUUAACUAUAUUAAGUUUAUGUUUUGAAAACAUAAAAAAGAAUUUUAUUCUAAUAAUUU
This 64-nucleotide transfer RNA is filed under the name Trichogramma cacaeciae. Its description in RNAcentral is "tRNA-Ser". The record is from RNAcentral. Lineage: Eukaryota; Metazoa; Arthropoda; Insecta; Hymenoptera; Trichogrammatidae.